CUACCGGGGUAUCUAAUCCUGUUUGCUCCCCACGCUUUCGCGUCUCAGCGUCAGUAACGUCCCAGCGAGCUGCCUUCGCAAUAGGUGUUCCUCCUGAUAUCUGCGCAUUUCACCGCUACACCAGGAAUUCCACUCGCCUCUUCCGCACUCUAGCCCGACAGUAUCCACCGGCAUUCGAGGGUUGAGCCCCCGACUUUCACAGCGGACUUACCGGACCGCCUACACGCGCUUUACGCCCAAUGAUUCCGGACAACGCUAGCCCCCUACGUAUUACCGCGGCUGCUGGCAC
Molecule: ribosomal RNA, 289 nt
Filed under: uncultured Solirubrobacter sp.
Lineage: Bacteria; Bacillati; Actinomycetota; Thermoleophilia; Solirubrobacterales; Solirubrobacteraceae
Description: partial 16S ribosomal RNA
Source: RNAcentral